CUCUUAUCGAGAGUUGGGCGAGGGAUUUGGCCUUUUGACCCCAAAAGCAACCGACCGUAAUUCCAUUGUGAAAUGGGGCGCAUUUUUUUCGCGCCGAGACGCUGGUCUCUUAAGGCACGGUGCUAAUUCCAUUCAGAUCUGAUCUGAGAGAUAAGAG
Molecule: regulatory RNA element, 157 nt
Organism: Bacillus subtilis subsp. subtilis str. 168
Lineage: Bacteria; Bacillati; Bacillota; Bacilli; Caryophanales; Bacillaceae
Rfam family: SAM riboswitch aptamer (S box leader)
About the family: The SAM riboswitch is found upstream of a number of genes which code for proteins involved in methionine or cysteine biosynthesis in Gram-positive bacteria. The SAM riboswitch acts at the level of transcription termination control.
Source: Rfam